UCAUUAACGAAUAUAAAUCGGAAAGCUGUCGCUGGCCUCUGGGCAUGUGCACGCUGACCGUGUUUCAUAAAUUUCUCACCUGUGAACCUAAUGUAGGAUGCCUCUCUUUCGGGAGGGGGGACCUAUGUCUUCAUAUACAUCUCCGUGUAGAAAGUCUUAGAAUGUUUACUAUCAUAGAGUUGCGACUUCUAGGAGACGCGAAUCUGUGAGAUAAAAGUUAUUACAACUUUCAGCAAUGGAUCUCUUGGCUCUCGCAUCGAUGAAGAACGCAGCGAAAAGCGAUAUGUAAUGUGAAUUGCAGAUCUACAGUGAAUCAUCGAAUCUUUGAACGCACCUUGCGCUCCUCGGUGUUCCGAGGAGCAUGCCUGUUUGAGUGUCAGUAAAUUCUCAACCCCUCUUGAUUGAGGGAGUUUGGAUAGUGGGGGUUGCCGGAGACUUAGGACUCGGGCUCUCCUGAAAUGCAUCGGCUUGCGGUCGACUUUCGACUAUGCGCGACAAGGCUUUCGGCGUGAUAAUGAUCGCCGUUCGCUGAAGCGCAUGAAUGAAGGUUUCGCGCCUCUAAUACGUCGACUCUUAUUAUCUCUUCGGAGAGAAAAGGUCUUCUUUAUUGACUUUUGACCUCAAAUCAGG
Molecule: ribosomal RNA, 630 nt
Filed under: uncultured fungus
Lineage: Eukaryota; Fungi
Description: eukaryotic LSU rRNA
Rfam family: 5.8S ribosomal RNA (bases 225-379)
Source: RNAcentral